This is a long non-coding RNA of Oreochromis niloticus (Nile tilapia), 767 nucleotides long. RefSeq lists it as uncharacterized. The transcript has 3 exons. The record is from RefSeq and is a predicted model, not a curated record. Lineage: Eukaryota; Metazoa; Chordata; Actinopteri; Cichliformes; Cichlidae.
CAUCAGCGGUCAUGGAGAGUCUCCAUCCAGCUGGAUCACUGUCACAGACAAACACACCACCACACCUCCACCUACAUCCACACCUCCUGGUUCCACCUCCAUCACUCUUCCUCAAUUACUCUUUCAUCCUGUAAUUCCUGUGUUGUCAUCAGUUUGUGUUGUGGUUCCAGUUGUGUUACUGGUUUUGCUGGUGAGACGAUGUCAUCACAGGAAACCCCAAGUAUAUCAAGAUAUGGCAGCAGAAGAUGGCAUUACAGACAGUGAAAUGAAAAUACCAAACAUUCAAGCGGAAGGAACACAAGAAAGCACAGGUAAUAAUAAUGUAACACACACAAAAAGAUUGUAGGUCUGUCCAACCAUCUCAGUCAUGGGCAAAAAGAUGACAGUCAAUAAAAUUCUAAAAGAUAAUUAAUUGAUACAAUAAUCAAAAGAUAAAAGAUAAAACAGUCCAGUGUCCCAUUUGCGGAUCAAGUAAAAAACAUACAGUCCCAAGGCCAGAGCCAGCUAUGACACAACGCCAGUUGCACUUGACGUGUUGACUUCAACAGGGUUAGCAUUUGUCCUCUGAAACCCACCACCCUGCAAGUAGAUAACCAGUGGUCACUGGUCACUCCAGCCUCUGCAUCUCCGCUGCCUUUAGGCUGUGGCAUAUAAUAGGCCCUGCUAGGGCUGUUCGAUAUAACGAUAUAUAUCGGAUGACGAUAUAAAAACGUCUAUCGUUUCAUUUUACGCUAUCAUUUGUUUCGUGGUGUUGCAAAAUAAACUGU